GGGUGACGAGUGGCGGACGGGUGAGUAAUGUCUGGGAAACUGCCCGAUGGAGGGGGAUAACUACUGGAAACGGUAGCUAAUACCGCAUAACGUCGCAAGACCAAAGAGGGGGACCUUCGGGCCUCUUGCCAUCGGAUGUGCCCAGAUGGGAUUAGCUAGUAGGUGGGGUAACGGCUCACCUAGGCGACGAUCCCUAGCUGGUCUGAGAGGAUGACCAGCCACACUGGAACUGAGACACGGUCCAAACUCCUACGGGAGGCAGCAGUGGGGAAUAUUGCACAAUGGGCGCAAGCCUGAUGCAGCCAUGCCGCGUGUAUGAAGAAGGCCUUCGGGUUGUAAAGUACUUUCAGCGAGGAGGAAGGUGUUGUGGUUAAUAACCGCAGCAAUUGACGUUACUCGCAGAAGAAGCACCGGCUAACUCCGUGCCAGCAGCCGCGGUAAUACGGAGGGUGCAAGCGUUAAUCGGAAUUACUGGGCGUAAAGCGCACGCAGGCGGUCUGUCAAGUCGGAUGUGAAAUCCCCGGGCUCAACCUGGGAACUGCAUCCGAAACUGGCAGGCUAGAGUCUUGUAGAGGGGGGUAGAAUUCCAGGUGUAGCGGUGAAAUGCGUAGAGAUCUGGAGG
Molecule: ribosomal RNA, 622 nt
Filed under: Citrobacter braakii
Lineage: Bacteria; Pseudomonadati; Pseudomonadota; Gammaproteobacteria; Enterobacterales; Enterobacteriaceae
Description: bacterial SSU rRNA
Rfam family: Bacterial small subunit ribosomal RNA
Source: RNAcentral